Molecule: unclassified non-coding RNA, 254 nt
Filed under: plant metagenome
Description: partial contains small subunit ribosomal RNA, internal transcribed spacer 1, and 5.8S ribosomal RNA
Source: RNAcentral
UUUCCGUAGGUGAACCUGCGGAAGGAUCAUUAACGCAUCUUUGACGGCGGCGGCCGUCGCUGCUCCGUACCGAAACGCCGUGCAGCGGCCGCCCCCGAGUCGCUCAACCAUCGCAAACCCACCGUUCACUUUCGUCGGCGAGGCGCUUAGCGCCCCGAGCCGGAUCGCAAACACCUCUUCUAAAACAGAAUGAUCAGCGGACCUGCGUGCCGCCUAAACUUAAACAACUUUCAACAACGGAUCUCUUGGCUCUC